This 493-nucleotide ribosomal RNA is filed under the name uncultured bacterium. Its description in RNAcentral is "partial 16S ribosomal RNA". It matches the Rfam family "Bacterial small subunit ribosomal RNA", at positions 27 to 507 of the family's 1533-position model. The record is from RNAcentral.
GAGUGAACGCUGGCGGUAGGCCUAACACAUGCAAGUCGAACGGCAGCACAGUAAGAGCUUGCUCUUACGGGUGGCGAGUGGCGGACGGGUGCGGAAUACAUCGGAAUCUACUUUUUCGUGGGGGAUAACGUAGGGAAACUUACGCUAAUACCGCAUACGACCUACGGGUGAAAGCAGGGGAUCUUCGGACCUUGCGCGAUUGAAUGAGCCGAUGUCGGAUUAGCUAGUUGGCGGGGUAAAGGCCCACCAAGGCGACGAUCCGUAGCUGGUCUGAGAGGAUGAUCAGCCACACUGGAACUGAGACACGGUCCAGACUCCUACGGGAGGCAACAGUGGGGAAUAUUGGACAAUGGGCGCAAGCCUGAUCCAGCCAUACCGCGUGGGUGAAGAAGGCCUUCGGGUUGUAAAGCCCUUUUGUUGGGAAAGAAAAGCAGCAGGUUAAUACCCCGCUGUUCUGACGGUACCCAAAGAAUAAGCACCGGCUAACUUCGUG